GAAGGCCUUAGGGUCGUAAACCGCUUUCAGUAGGGACGAAAAUGACGGUACCUGCAGAAAAAGCUCCGGCCAACUACCUGCCAACAACCGCCGUGAUACCUAAGGAGCAAGCGUUGUCCCGAAUUACUGGGCCUAAAGGGCUCUGAAGUGGUUGAGUAAGUCAGAUGUUAAAUCUCACGGCCCAACCCUGAACGUGCCUUUGAUACUGCUCUGACUAGAGUCCGGUAGGGGAGUGCGGAAUUCCUGGUGUAGCGGUGAAAUGCGUAGAUAUCAGGAGGAACACCGACGGCGAAGGCAGCACUCUGGGCCGGUACUGACACUGAGGAGCGAAAGCAUGGGUAGCAAACAGGAUUAGAUACCCUGGUAGUCCAUGCCGUAAACGUUGGGCACUAGGUGUGGGGAGAACUCAACUCUCUCCGCGCCGUAACUAACGCAUUAAGUGCCCCGCCGGGGGAGUACGGCCGCAAGGCUAAA
Molecule: ribosomal RNA, 474 nt
Filed under: uncultured Actinomycetes bacterium
Lineage: Bacteria; Bacillati; Actinomycetota; Actinomycetes
Description: bacterial SSU rRNA
Rfam family: Bacterial small subunit ribosomal RNA
Source: RNAcentral